UAUAAAUGACAGGUACAUUAUAGGGAGGCCGACAUUAGGGUAUUGUGCUCCACUUUAGUAGAAGUUUAGUUUCAAAUUAAAAAAAUUUGUUGAAGUAAUAAUGCUUGGUGUUAAGUUUUUAUUAAUUGGCUUCUUCAUAAUACCAAUUUCAGCCAGUGGAUUUAGCUAUGAUGAUACCAUUAGCUGGAAUUUAGACACACCCCAAUGUGCUGGGUUAAGACAAUCUCCCAUUUCGUUGGACCACACAAGGGUAA
Molecule: long non-coding RNA, 254 nt
Organism: Eupeodes corollae
Lineage: Eukaryota; Metazoa; Arthropoda; Insecta; Diptera; Syrphidae
Exons: 2
Source: RefSeq, a predicted model, not a curated record